This 247-nucleotide ribosomal RNA is filed under the name uncultured bacterium. Its description in RNAcentral is "partial 16S ribosomal RNA". It matches the Rfam family "Bacterial small subunit ribosomal RNA", at positions 523 to 769 of the family's 1533-position model. The record is from RNAcentral.
AUACGUAGGGUGCGAGCGUUAAUCGGAAUUACUGGGCGUAAAGCGUGCGCAGGCGGUUUGAUAAGACAGGCGUGAAAUCCCCGGGCUCAACCUGGGAACUGCGUUUGUGACUGUCUCACUAGAGUACGGCAGAGGGGGGUGGAAUUCCACGUGUAGCAGUGAAAUGCGUAGAGAUGUGGAGGAACACCAAUGGCGAAGGCAGCCCCCUGGGUCGAUACUGACGCUCAUGCACGAAAGCGUGGGUAGC